GAUGAACGCUGGCGGCGUGCCUAAUACAUGCAAGUCGAGCGAACAGACGAGGAGCUUGCUCCUUCGACGUUAGCGGCGGACGGGUGAGUAACACGUAGGUAACCUACCUAUAAGAUUGGGAUAACUUCGGGAAACCGGAGCUAAUACCGGGUAAUAUUUCGAACCGCAUGGUUCGAUAGUGAAAGAUGGCUUUGCUAUCACUUAUAGAUGGACCUGCGCCGUAUUAGCUAGUUGGUAAGGUAACGGCUUACCAAGGCAACGAUACGUAGCCGACCUGAGAGGGUGAUCGGCCACACUGGAACUGAGACACGGUCCAGACUCCUACGGGAGGCAGCAGUAGGGAAUCUUCCGCAAUGGGCGAAAGCCUGACGGAGCAACGCCGCGUGAGUGAUGAAGGUCUUCGGAUCGUAAAACUCUGUUAUUAGGGAAGAACAAACGUGUAAGUAACUGUGCACGUCUUGACGGUACCUAAUCAGAAAGCCACGGCUAACUACGUG
RNAcentral lists this ribosomal RNA (497 nucleotides) under uncultured bacterium. RNAcentral's name for it is "partial 16S ribosomal RNA". It matches the Rfam family "Bacterial small subunit ribosomal RNA", at positions 28 to 507 of the family's 1533-position model. The record is from RNAcentral.